RNAcentral lists this ribosomal RNA (50 nucleotides) under Debaryomyces hansenii. RNAcentral's name for it is "partial 28S ribosomal RNA". Lineage: Eukaryota; Fungi; Ascomycota; Pichiomycetes; Serinales; Debaryomycetaceae. The record is from RNAcentral.
UUUGACCUCAAAUCAGGUAGGAUUACCCGCUGAACUUAAGCAUAUCAAUA